Molecule: ribosomal RNA, 253 nt
Filed under: uncultured bacterium
Lineage: Bacteria
Description: partial 16S ribosomal RNA
Rfam family: Bacterial small subunit ribosomal RNA
Source: RNAcentral
UACAGAGGGUGCAAGCGUUAAUCGGAAUUACUGGGCGUAAAGCGUGCGCAGGCGGUGAGCUGUGUCCGAUGUGAAAGCCCCGGGCUUAACCUGGGAAUGGCAUUGGAAACUGGCUCGCUGGAGUGUGGCAGAGGGGGGUGGAAUUCCGCGUGUAGCAGUGAAAUGCGUAGAGAUGCGGAGGAACACCGAUGGCGAAGGCAGCCCCCUGGGCUAACACUGACGCUCAGGCACGAAAGCGUGGGGAGCAAACAGG